This 778-nucleotide ribosomal RNA is filed under the name uncultured bacterium. RNAcentral's name for it is "bacterial SSU rRNA". It matches the Rfam family "Bacterial small subunit ribosomal RNA", at positions 82 to 860 of the family's 1533-position model. The record is from RNAcentral.
CCCGCAAGGGUAACCGGCGAACGGGUGCGUAACACGUGAGCAAGCUUCCGAUCUGUGGGGGAUAGCCGGCCCAACGGCCGGGUAAUACCGCAUACGUUCACUGGACGGCAUCGUCUGGUGAGGAAACCUCCGGGGCGGAUCGAGGUGCUCGCGGCCUAUCAGCUAGUUGGCGGGGUAACGGCCCACCAAGGCGACGACGGGUAGCUGGUCUGAGAGGAUGGCCAGCCACAUUGGGACUGCGACACGGCCCAGACUCCUACGGGAGGCAGCAGUGGGGAAUAUUGCGCAAUGGACGAAAGUCUGACGCAGCGACGCCGCGUGUGGGAUGAAGCCUUUCGGGGCGUAAACCACUGUUGCCCGGGACGAACCUCCCCAUUCGUGGGGACUGACGGUACCGGGUGAGGAAGCACCGGCUAACUCUGUGCCAGCAGCCGCGGUAAUACAGAGGGUGCGAGCGUUGUCCGGAAUCACUGGGCGUAAAGGGCGCGUAGGUGGCUUGGUAAGCGUGUGGUGAAAGUCCGGGGCUCAACCCCGGAUCUGCCAUGCGAACUGCCGAGCUUGAGCGAUGUAGAGGCAGGUGGAAUUUCGGGUGUAGCGGUGGAAUGCGUAGAGAUCCGAAAGAACACCAGUGGCGAAGGCGGCCUGCUGGGCAUCCGCUGACACUGAGGCGCGACAGCGUGGGGAGCAAACAGGAUUAGAUACCCUGGUAGUCCACGCCGUAAACGAUGGGUACUAGGUGUCUGGGGGAGCGACCCCCUGGGUGCCGGCGCUAACGCAU